AUGCCGCAGUUCAGGUUGCGGUCCACCUUGCAGAAGGUGUGCGGGGGCGUCUCGCCUUUGCUGCUGAUGAUGACGCAGAUGUCGGUGACCGCCAGCGAGUUCUGGGGCUGGACCAGCGGCGCCCGGCGGAAGGUGAUGAAGAUGCGCUGCGACGUGGCCGAGCUGUUGUUGACGUUGGCGCAGCGGCCGAAGGGCGUGGCCUGGACCACCUCGCAGCCCUGGAUCAGCCGGUCCUUCCCCUCGUACAGCACGCUGGCGAGGGGAGAGGACGGGCUUAAAGCGACCGCCGCAACCUGCGCCCACCCAGCGCCACUCCGCUCAGCCCCGCCCCACCCGCUCGGCCCCGCCCACCCCAUCCACUCGGCCCCGCCCACUCAGCCUUGCCCACCCAGCCCCGCCCACCCGGCACCACCCACCCCGCCCCGCCUUGCCCACCCAGUCCUGCCCACUCCACUCAGCCCCGCCCACCCCAUCCACUCGGCCCCGCCCGCUCAGCCUUGCCCACCCAGCCCCGCCCACCCGGCACCACCCACCCCGCCCCGCCUUGCCCACCCAGUCCUGCCCACUCCACUCAGCCCUGCCCACCCCAUCCACUUGGCCCCGCCCGCUCAGCCUUGCCCACCCAGCCCCGCCCACUCCUCUCAGCCCCGCCCACUCGGCCACGCCCACUCACCCGACAUCGAUGAGGGGCGACUUCCCGCGGCUCCGCCGGUAGCACAGGAACAGCUCGGGGCUCUUCAGGCUGCCGUGGUUCAGGUUGGCCGGCUGGCCGCUGGGGGUGGUGUCGAUGCAGGUGAAGCCCUCCGGCACCGUCUCCCCCGCCGACCUGUUGAUGACGGCCAGGUCGGUGAUGGGCCCCUUGGGCCCGCCGGACCUGCACUCCGACAGGUCCUGCUCCAGGGGCGUGGACCGGUCCGUCAGCCCGGCCACCACGAAGUAGUCGGUCACCCGGUGACCCUUGUCCUCGUUCAUGGCUGGACGUGCCUGCGAGGAGGGACGAGUCUGUGA
This 1008-nucleotide long non-coding RNA is filed under the name Takifugu rubripes (torafugu). Its description in RNAcentral is "lncRNA (ENSTRUG00000028240.1)". Lineage: Eukaryota; Metazoa; Chordata; Actinopteri; Tetraodontiformes; Tetraodontidae. The record is from RNAcentral.